Molecule: non-coding RNA, 1421 nt
Organism: Nelumbo nucifera (sacred lotus)
Lineage: Eukaryota; Viridiplantae; Streptophyta; Magnoliopsida; Proteales; Nelumbonaceae
Source: RefSeq, a predicted model, not a curated record
UUCUUCCUCAUUUUGAAUUCGAACCUACUCACCGUUUCUUAGAGUCGUUAAUCACCAGAUCACCGGAGCUCUACAAAAAGCUACAGCGUCUUCUCAUCGUCUUCUUCCUCACAUCAGAUCACCAGAGCUAAUUUCUCAGAGUUGUUUCUUCUCCGGGGCUUCAUCUCCCUCAUCUUCUUCCUCAUUUUGAACCUAUGACAUCCUCACCGUUUCUCAGAACCAUGAAUCACUAGAUCACUGGAGCUCUACAGAAAGUGUCUUCUCAUCGUCUUCUUCCUCACACCGGAUCACCAGAGGUAAUUUCUCAGAGUUGUUUCUUCUCUGGAGCUUCAUCUCCCUCACUACCAGAGCUACAACGUCUUCCCCAUUUCAAAACUACAACUUCUUCCCCAUUUUUCAAGCUAUUAAUCACAAGAGCUUCAUCUCUCAUCACUGGAUCUAUAAUGUUUUCCCCAUUUCAAAUUUUCUCAUAGCCGUUUAUAACCAAAGCUUCAUCUCUCAUCAUUGGAGCUUCAUUUCUUACUCAUCACCGGAGCUUCAUCUCACCGUUUCAUCAUCGGAGCUUCAUUUCUACUUGUGUUCACCGUUUCAUUACUGGAGCUUCAUCUCUAUCUAUGUUCGUUGUUUUAUCACCGGCCUUCCUUAUUUAAGACGUUGAAACAAUCUCAAAUCCCCUUGUGUUCACCGGUCACCGGCCGGGGAUGACACUCAAUGUUCACCAUUCAGAGGAAGCUAGAGCAUCGGUUUACUGUUCACCGUCCGUCCGAGGCACCUUUUGUUGACCAUUAACAGGAUGCUCGAAGCUGGUUUUAACGGCCGUUGGAAGGUUUCUCAAGCCCUUGCAUUCAACUGCUAUGGAGGUGGUUCCCUCGUGUUUCCGGCAUGACCCCUGUGUUUCCGGUUUAUUCUGGUUUGGCCACCCAUGCAUUUGUUGACGCUGCUUGACCACAAGUAUGAAUAGCCAACGGAGUGUCGAGAAUCAAUCUCCGAGUAGUUUGCAGUAUGAUACUAAGUAUUGCUAUUUUAAAUGAAAAUGCAUCCUUUGAAUUUCUACAACUCGGAAUAACCUGCAAAAGUUGUUUAAUAGCUAUCGAUUAAUAUCCAAGGAGCAGGUGCUGGAUAGCCCAACGACUGAAAACGAUUCUAUUGGCAGUUGCAAAUUUUUUGAGUAGACGAUUCCUUAAGGUUGGUCGGAUGAGGUUACAUCAGGAAAUAGUCAUGGUGAUGUUCUAGAAUGCCUUGAAAAUGUGGAGAGAGAAGUCGAUGUUUGCAUAAGGCAGAUUGAGUCUAUGAAAUCAGUCAAUGAGUUAGCUAUGUUUUAAUUCUUUUUGUUAUUAUUCUCCUUACAUUAGUCUUUUAGAAAUAGUUUAUCAUUAUUGGUGAAUACGUAGGUUCAGUGUUUUUAAUAUUGUGUUAAAAGA